Molecule: long non-coding RNA, 158 nt
Organism: Octopus sinensis (East Asian common octopus)
Lineage: Eukaryota; Metazoa; Mollusca; Cephalopoda; Octopoda; Octopodidae
Exons: 3
Source: RefSeq, a predicted model, not a curated record
GUUGGAUGAGUGGUUUAUCUCCCUUAGAAAUUAUGAUGCCCAGCUGCAUCAUUUACCAUAUAUGGUAAUAACAUGUGGCUACAUGUUAUUACAUGCAAAUGUUGAAACAAGGUAUCUCUCUCUCUCUCAUAUAUAUAUAUAUAUUGGAAAGUUUGGAG